RNAcentral lists this unclassified non-coding RNA (234 nucleotides) under Ascomycota sp. Its description in RNAcentral is "partial contains small subunit ribosomal RNA, internal transcribed spacer 1, and 5.8S ribosomal RNA". The stretch from base 1 to 47 matches the Rfam family "Eukaryotic small subunit ribosomal RNA", at positions 1785 to 1831 of the family's 1831-position model. The record is from RNAcentral. Lineage: Eukaryota; Fungi; Ascomycota.
AAAGUCGUAACAAGGUUUCCGUAGGUGAACCUGCGGAAGGAUCAUUACAGAGUUCAUGCCCUUACGGGUAGAUCUCCCACCCUUGAAUAUAUACCUUUGUUGCUUUGGCGGGUCGCAUCGUCCACUGGCUUUUUGCUAGUGAGUGCCCGCCAGAGAACCCUAAAUUCUGAAUUAAAGUGUCGUCUGAGUAUUAUAUAAUAGUUAAAACUUUCAACAACGGAUCUCUUGGUUCUG